GGGGAAUAUUGGACAAUGGGCGCAAGCCUGAUCCAGCCAUGCCGCGUGAGUGAUGAAGGCCCUAGGGUUGUAAAGCUCUUUCACCGGUGAAGAUAAUGACGGUAACCGGAGAAGAAGCCCCGGCUAACUUCGUGCCAGCAGCCGCGGUAAUACGAAGGGGGCUAGCGUUGUUCGGAAUUACUGGGCGUAAAGCGCACGUAGGCGGAUUGGUCAGUUAGGGGUGAAAUCCCAGGGCUCAACCCUGGAACUGCCUUUAAUACUGCCGGUCUAGAGUCCGAGAGAGGUGAGUGGUAUUCCGAGUGUAGAGGUGAAAUUCGUAGAUAUUCGGAGGAACACCAGUGGCGAAGGCGGCUCACUGGCUCGGGACUGACGCUGAGGUGCGAAAGCGUGGGGAGCAAAC
RNAcentral lists this ribosomal RNA (400 nucleotides) under uncultured bacterium. RNAcentral's name for it is "bacterial SSU rRNA". It matches the Rfam family "Bacterial small subunit ribosomal RNA", at positions 356 to 773 of the family's 1533-position model. The record is from RNAcentral.